UGAGAGCUGCGGCGCCGCUUGACGUGCCCUGCCGCGGGGUGGUGCUCUGACUGCGGCAGCCGUUGAAGGGCUGCCCCGGAAGGCAGCGAGGCGCCACCGGUCUAUUAAACAGCUUUUCACAUUUGUUCUACACAAGAGGAAUGACUGUGACAGUACCAUCUUCCUGAACUAGACCAUCUUCCUGAAUCAGACCUGGGAGUGGGAACUUGUGUACAGAACACCUAAACUUGGCAAGGAUGCUGCAGAUUUUGAAGGAGAAUGGCUUUAUCCCCUCCCAGCCCUGAUGAUAUUAUGAGAGGUGGAGUUAGUUGUGUGUGUGUGUGAUUCAGUGUGCCCUCUUUGCUUUGAGUUUACAACUAAUUAUCAACAAAUAAUUAUUGAGAUUUUGCUAUGUUGAAGGCAUUUUGAAGGAAAUUAUGG
Octodon degus (degu) is the source of this 420-nucleotide long non-coding RNA. RefSeq lists it as uncharacterized. Lineage: Eukaryota; Metazoa; Chordata; Mammalia; Rodentia; Octodontidae. The record is from RefSeq and is a predicted model, not a curated record. The transcript has 3 exons.